This 440-nucleotide ribosomal RNA is filed under the name uncultured bacterium. RNAcentral describes it as "partial 16S ribosomal RNA". It matches the Rfam family "Bacterial small subunit ribosomal RNA", at positions 338 to 795 of the family's 1533-position model. The record is from RNAcentral.
CCUACGGGGGGCAGAAGUGGGGGAUAUUGCACAAUGGGGGGAACCCUGAUGCAGCGACGCCGCGUGGGUGAAGAAGCGCCUCGGCGCGUAAAGCCCUGUCAGCAGGGAAGAAAAUGACGGUACCUGAAGAAGAAGCCCCGGCUAACGACGUGCCAGCAGCCGCGGUAAUACGAAGGGGGCAAGCGUUAUCCGGAUUUACUGGGGGGAAAGGGGGCGCAGACGGCGAUGCAAGCCAGGAGUGAAAGCCCGGGGCCCAACCCCGGGACGGCUCGUGGAACGGCGGGGCUGGAGUGCAGGAGGGGCAGGCGGCAUUCCUGGUGUAGCGGUGACAUGCGUAGAUAUCAGGAGGAACCCCGGUGGCGAAGGCGGCCUGCUGGACUGCAACUGACGUUGAGGCCCGAAAGCGUGGGGAGCAAACAGGAUUAGAUACCCGGGUAGUC